GAACUAAUCAGUUUUAAGUUAUCUUAAAUCACCACCACUGAAUCAUUGGUUGGAUUAGAUAACCGACUAGGAUAAUUGUUCAGCAGACGCUGCAUUUUCAGGAGCCCCUCCUGAUUUCUGCCCGAUCUUCUGCAGAGUCGCGCAAACCGCUUUCCCCUGCGAUCCCUGGUGCUUCAAGACACGGAGUCCCAGUCUGUAACUUUCGGUCUUAAAAAGCAGACUUGCCCUUUAGACGGUUGCUCAGUUAAUUUAAACGUCUUGCGGUCUGGAGGUAUUUUGGAGACGUGCCGAAGACAAAGCUUCCACACUCUGCACGUGUUCAGAGGGCUGCUGGUUGUUAUCUAAGAUUGUUUGACCUCUCUCCGGUCAGAAUCGUGGCCCGCAAAGAGAUUCCGAGGCUAAUCUUUAAUUCGAAGCAUUCCACUGCUCCCUUACCCGCGCAUCGUCCCCCCCCACCAAACCUAAGAACCUUUUUUUUUGCUUCUGGACUCCGCUUUCCGAGAACGCCUUCGCUCAACUUCGUUGCUCGAGCUGCCCUUGCCUCGCUCGGUCGCUAGAUGGCGCCCCGGAGUUCUGUGCGCGCGUUGCCCAGCCGCGGCUUCGCCUUUGGUGGCGGCGGCCGCUCGCUCCGCACCGGCUCGAACCGUGAGUGGCAGAAGGGGAAUCGGAGCCGCGGGAGGACGGGCGGGCGGAAAAACCGACACGGGGCGCCGUAGGAGCGGAGGCUGCGGCCGGGCUACAGGUGACAGAGCCCGGGCUGGUUCCUUGGUCGGAGCAGGGAGAGACGAGGCGGGGAAUGAGGAGGAAAGCGAGUUAUUAAGUAAAGCCCGAACACUUGUGAAUGGGACACUGGUAUGUUGAUGUUACAGCACAUGAAGUCUAAGGUUGCAAUUGUGCUCCAUAAUGGGACUUCCUUCAGAGAAUAUAGACAUGUACAGGACUGUCUUGUAAGGUACUCUAUACUAGUCUGCCUACCAUUUCACAUGGUUGCAGCUAUUAAGACCUGAACUUGUUCUUUUAGACUAUUUAUGUUUUAAGUGCAGGACAUGUUAUUGCAGAUUUGAAGCAGAGAGAGAGAAAAUUAUUUUAUAACAUACAGUGAAGUGGAAUUUAGGAUCUGGCUAGGCUGUGCUAUUAAAUGUGCUGUGUAUUCUUGGAAGUCUUCUGUCCAUCUGUGAAAUUGAAGGCAUUGAUUUCAUGUGAUGGAAGCUAGGAAGCUGAUCCAAUUUAUAUUGGUAUAGCUUAUAGCUCUUCUAGGUUGUUGUUGAAGUUUCUUGUUUU
Molecule: long non-coding RNA, 1281 nt
Filed under: Pogona vitticeps (central bearded dragon)
Lineage: Eukaryota; Metazoa; Chordata; Lepidosauria; Squamata; Agamidae
Description: lncRNA (ENSPVIG00000013855.1)
Source: RNAcentral